UGACAGAAAGCUGGAGAUGGGGGAAGGAGUUCACCUGCCACUCAAAGGCCCGGGUGGUAGCUGGAUGGAGGCCAACCUUUGACGAUGCGGUUCCUCCGUCUGGAGUGCUUCUCUUCGCAACAACCUCUUUUCUUCAAUCCCACCUAAAUGUUGCCUCCUAAGGAAGCCUUCCUCAACUCUCCAGGCAGACGGUGUCCCUUCCUGGGUGCCCAGGGUGCCCCAUUUGUGCCACUAAAUCAGCAGUGUUCACAGUGUGUCACUGUCCCCUCCACUCGUUCCCGCCCUGUGAGCUGGCCGCGUGUCCUACUCACAUUGCCUGGAGAGUCCGCACGCUGCGGAACCUCAAGAAAUAUUUGUCGGCUUCCACCAGUACGCGGCCCGGGAGGGGGAUGUGGAGACCCUGUCCCUGGAGGAGCUGAAGGCCCUGCUCAGGGACAACGUGCCCCGCUUCAUGGAGAGCCUGGGCCGGGAGAAGCCGUACUUCGUCACCGAGCUGUUCCGGGCAGCGGACAAGGACAAGGACAACCAGAUCUGCUUUGACGAGUUCCUGUACGUCCUGGGCCAGCUGCUGAGGGACUACCACCUGCAGUACCACCGGCAGCUGUGCGCCCACUACUGUGCCCAGCACAGCCUCUACUAGAGGAAGUGGACAGCCCCCAGGCCUGCCCCAGGAGCCACGUGACCCAGCCAGGCGGCCGAGUGGAGCUCUGCCACGCGUGUCUGCGUGUGCCCGUGUGUGUGCGCACGCAUGUGCAUGGGUGUGGAAGGACACCUGGGAGGGAAGAGAAUAAAGCAACUUCCCAGCA
Molecule: long non-coding RNA, 806 nt
Organism: Myotis davidii
Lineage: Eukaryota; Metazoa; Chordata; Mammalia; Chiroptera; Vespertilionidae
Exons: 3
Source: RefSeq, a predicted model, not a curated record